This 862-nucleotide ribosomal RNA is filed under the name uncultured Flavobacteriaceae bacterium. Its description in RNAcentral is "bacterial SSU rRNA". It matches the Rfam family "Bacterial small subunit ribosomal RNA", at positions 38 to 890 of the family's 1533-position model. The record is from RNAcentral. Lineage: Bacteria; Pseudomonadati; Bacteroidota; Flavobacteriia; Flavobacteriales; Flavobacteriaceae.
AGCGGCAGGCUUCAUACAUGCAAGUCGAGGGGCAGCAUAAAUUACUUGUAAUUUGAUGGCGACCGGCGAACGGGUGCGUAACGCGUAUGCAACUUACCUUUUACUAGAGAAUAGCCAAGAGAAAUUUUGAUUAAUGCUCUAUACACUUACUAACUUUCAUGAGUUUGUAAGAAAAGCUCCGGCGGUAAAAGAUGGGCAUGCGUCCUAUUAGCUUGUAGGUGAGGUAACGGCUCACCUAAGCUCCGAUAGGUAGGGGUCCUGAGAGGGAGACCCCCCACACUGGUACUGAGACACGGACCAGACUUCUACGGAAGGCAGCAGUAAGGAAUAUUGGACAAUGGAGGAAACUCUGAUCCAGCCAUGCCGCGUGAAGGAUGACGGCCUUAUGGGUUGUAAACUUCUUUUAUACAGGAAUAAACCUAUCCACGUGUGGAUAGCUGAAGGUACUGUAAGAAUAAGGAUCGGCUAACUCCGUGCCAGCAGCCGCGGUAAUACGGAGGAUCCAAGCGUUAUCCGGAAUUAUUGGGUUUAAAGGGUCCGCAGGCUGUUUGUUAAGUCAGAGGUGAAAUCCUACCGCUCAACGGUAGAACUGCCUUUGAUACUGGCAAACUUGAGUUAUUGUGAAGUAGUUAGAAUGUGUAGUGUAGCGGUGAAAUGCAUAGAUAUUACACAGAAUACCGAUUGCGAAAGCAGAUUACUAACAAUUAACUGACGCUGAGGGACGAAAGCGUGGGUAGCGAACAGGAUUAGAUACCCUGGUAGUCCACGCCGUAAACGAUGGUCACUAGCUGUUCGAUGUACAUUGGUACAUUGAGUGGCUAAGCGAAAGUGAUAAGUGACCCACCUGGGGAGUACGCUCGCA